AACGCUGGCGGCAUGCCUAACACAUGCAAGUCGAACGGAGAUUAUUUCGGUAAUCUUAGUGGCGAACGGGUGAGUAACGCGUAGGCAACCUGCCCUUUAGUUGGGGACAACAUUCCGAAAGGGGUGCUAAUACCGAAUGUGACAGUUUUCUCGCAUGAGAUUACUGUGAAAGAUGGCCUCUAUUUAUAAGCUAUCGCUAAAGGAUGGGCCUGCGUCUGAUUAGCUAGUUGGUGGGGCAACGGCCUACCAAGGCGACGAUCAGUAACCGGUCUGAGAGGAUGAACGGCCACAUUGGAACUGAGACACGGUCCAGACUCCUACGGGAGGCAGCAGUGGGGAAUCUUCCGCAAUGGGCGAAAGCCUGACGGAGCAACGCCGCGUGAGUGAAGAAGGCCUUCGGGUCGUAAAGCUCUGUUGAAGGGGACGAAUGUCAAGACUAUCAACAACGGUUUUGAAUGACGGUACCUUUCGAGGAAGCCACGGCUAACUACGUG
Molecule: ribosomal RNA, 494 nt
Filed under: uncultured bacterium
Lineage: Bacteria
Description: bacterial SSU rRNA
Rfam family: Bacterial small subunit ribosomal RNA
Source: RNAcentral